GGGCCAGUGGCGCCAUGGAUAACGCACCUGACAACGGCUCAGGAAAUUUCAGGUUCGAAUCCUGGCUAGCUCG
Non-coding RNA from Trichonephila clavata, 73 nucleotides. Lineage: Eukaryota; Metazoa; Arthropoda; Arachnida; Araneae; Nephilidae. The record is from the annotation of a GenBank genome assembly.